AAAUAGCCCCGAUAGCAGUGGAAAUCCUUUUGUGUUUUUUCUUUAAAAACAGAAAAGAUUGCAACGGAUAGCGGGAGUAAUG
This 82-nucleotide small RNA is filed under the name Flavobacterium sp. 5. RNAcentral describes it as "Flavo-1 RNA". It matches the Rfam family "Flavo-1 RNA". Lineage: Bacteria; Pseudomonadati; Bacteroidota; Flavobacteriia; Flavobacteriales; Flavobacteriaceae. The record is from RNAcentral.